GUCCACGCCGUAAACGAUGAGUGCCAGACGUCGGGGGGCUCGCCUCUCGGUGUCGACGCUAACGCAUUAAGCACUCCGCCUGGGGAGUACGGCCGCAAGGUUAAAACUCAAAGGAAUUGACGGGGGCCCGCACAAGCGGUGGAGCAUGUGGUUUAAUUCGACGCAACGCGAAGAACCUUACCAGCCCUUGACAUGCUAGGUUUCGGCCUCCUGAAAGGGGGGCCUUCAGUUCGGCUGGGCCUAGUACAGGUGCUGCAUGGCUGUCGU
This 267-nucleotide ribosomal RNA is filed under the name uncultured bacterium. Its description in RNAcentral is "partial 16S ribosomal RNA". It matches the Rfam family "Bacterial small subunit ribosomal RNA", at positions 793 to 1055 of the family's 1533-position model. The record is from RNAcentral.